AGAGUUUGAUCCUGGCUCAGGACGAACGCUGGCGGCGUGCCUAACACAUGCAAGUCGAGCGAUGAAGUUCCUUCGGGAACGGAUUAGCGGCGGACGGGUGAGUAACACGUGGGCAACCUGCCUUAUAGAGGGGAAUAGCCUUCCGAAAGAAAGAUUAAUACCGCAUAAGAUUGUAGCUUCGCAUGAAGCAGCAAUUAAAGGAGCAAUCCGCUAUAAGAUGGGCCCGCGGCGCAUUAGCUAGUUGGUGAGGUAACGGCUCACCAAGGCGACGAUGCGUAGCCGACCUGAGAGGGUGAUCGGCCACAUUGGGACUGAGACACGGCCCAGACUCCUACGGGAGGCAGCAGUGGGGAAUAUUGCACAAUGGGGGAAACCCUGAUGCAGCAACGCCGCGUGAGUGAUGACGGCCUUCGGGUUGUAAAGCUCUGUCUUUGGGGACGAUAAUGACGGUACCCAAGGAGGAAGCCACGGCUAACUACGU
This 481-nucleotide ribosomal RNA is filed under the name uncultured Clostridium sp. RNAcentral's name for it is "bacterial SSU rRNA". It matches the Rfam family "Bacterial small subunit ribosomal RNA", at positions 8 to 506 of the family's 1533-position model. The record is from RNAcentral. Lineage: Bacteria; Bacillati; Bacillota; Clostridia; Eubacteriales; Clostridiaceae.